RNAcentral lists this ribosomal RNA (446 nucleotides) under uncultured bacterium. Its description in RNAcentral is "partial 16S ribosomal RNA". It matches the Rfam family "Bacterial small subunit ribosomal RNA", at positions 338 to 795 of the family's 1533-position model. The record is from RNAcentral.
CCUACGGGAGGCAGCAGUCGAGAAUCAUUCACAAUGGGGGAAACCCUGAUGCUGCGACGCCGCGUGGGGGAAUGAAGGUCUUCGGAUUGUAAACCCCUGUCAUGUGGGAGCAAAUUAAAAAGAUAGUACCACAAGAGGAAGAGACGGCUAACGCUGUGCCAGCAGCCGCGGUAAUACAGAGGUCUCAAGCGUUGUUCGGAAUCACUGGGCGUAAGGCGUGCGUAGGCUGUUUCGUAAGUCGUGUGUGAAAGGCGCGGGCUCAACCCGCGGACGGCACAUGAUACUGCGAGACUAGAGUAAUGGAGGGGGAACCGGAAUUCUCGGUGUAGCAGUGAAAUGCGUAGAUAUCGAGAGGAACACUCGUGGCGAAGGCGGGUUCCUGGACAUUAACUGACGCUGAGGCACGAAGGCCAGGGGAGCGAAAGGGAUUAGAUACCCGUGUAGUC